This is a long non-coding RNA of Leucoraja erinaceus (little skate), 303 nucleotides long. RefSeq lists it as uncharacterized. The transcript is spliced from 3 exons. Lineage: Eukaryota; Metazoa; Chordata; Chondrichthyes; Rajiformes; Rajidae. The record is from RefSeq and is a predicted model, not a curated record.
CAGAUUCGUUGAAAUCUCAUCAAUUUUUCCAAAAAGUCGAUUGGCAUCGCGUUGAACUGCGGGAGUACGCCCCGCCCAUUAUACCAGGCUGUGUGAAGCCGUCGAUUGUUGACAAGAAUCUGCCCAGUUUGAGCAGCCCAGACCUGGAGCUAUCAGACGGUAAGCCGGACAUUUUCCGUGACUUUGGUCUGUCUGUGACGGAGCAAUGGACGGAUGAGAUGGUGGAGUCUGUGUACCAUGAGAUGAACGCACGGGCCGACAGCGCAGAGAGUGUGUCAAAGUCCCCUGGUAGCCACACUACAC